GAAGUUUAGCUCAGCUGGUUUAGAGCACCUGCCUUACAAGCAGGGGGUCACUGGUUCGAGUCCAGUAAUUUCC
Molecule: transfer RNA, 73 nt
Filed under: bovine gut metagenome
Rfam family: tRNA
About the family: Transfer RNA (tRNA) molecules are approximately 80 nucleotides in length.
Source: RNAcentral